UGGGGGAUAUUGCACAAUGGGGGAAACCCUGAUGCAGCGACGCCGCGUGGAGGAAGAAGGUUUUCGGAUUGUAAACUCCUGUCGUUAGGGACGAUAAUGACGGUACCUAACAAGAAAGCACCGGCUAACUACGUGCCAGCAGCCGCGGUAAAACGUAGGUCACAAGCGUUGUCCGGAAUUACUGGGUGUAAAGGGAGCGCAGGCGGGAAGACAAGUUGGAAGUGAAAUCUAUGGGCUCAACCCAUAAACUGCUUUCAAAACUGUUUUUCUUGAGUAGUGCAGAGGUAGGCGGAAUUCCCGGUGUAGCGGUGGAAUGCGUAGAUAUCGGGAGGAACACCAGUGGCGAAGGCGGCCUACUGGGCACCAACUGACGCUGAGGCUCGAAAGUGUGGGUAGCAAACAGGAUUAGAUACCCUGGUAGUCCACACCGUAAACGAUGAUUACUAGGUGUUGGAGGAUUGACCCCUUCAGUGCCGCAGUUAACACAAUAAGUAAUCCACCUGGGGAGUACGACCGCAAGGUUGAAACUCAAAGGAAUUGACGGGGGCCCGCACAAGCAGUGGAGUAUGUGGUUUAAUUCGACGCAACGCGAAGAACCUUACCAAGUCUUGACAUCCUGCGACGGUGCUGGAAACAGUACUUUCCUUCGGGACGCAGAGACAGGUGGUGCAUGGUUGUCGUCAGCUCGUGUCGUGAGAUGUUGGGUUAAGUCCCGCAACGAGCGCAACCCUUAUGGUCAGUUACUACGCAAGAGGACUCUGGCCAGACUGCCGUUGACAAAACGGAGGAAGGUGGGGAUGACGUCAAAUCAUCAUGCCCUUUAUGACUUGGGCUACACACGUACUACAAUGGCGUUAAACAAAGAGAAGCAAGACCGCGAGGUGGAGCAAAACUCAGAAACAACGUCCCAGUUCGGACUGCAGGCUGCAACUCGCCUGCACGAAGUCGGAAUUGCUAGUAAUCGUGGAUCAGCAUGCCACGGUGAAUACGUUCCC
This 995-nucleotide ribosomal RNA is filed under the name uncultured bacterium. RNAcentral describes it as "bacterial SSU rRNA". It matches the Rfam family "Bacterial small subunit ribosomal RNA", at positions 355 to 1375 of the family's 1533-position model. The record is from RNAcentral.